This 978-nucleotide ribosomal RNA is filed under the name Triticum aestivum (bread wheat). RNAcentral's name for it is "partial small subunit ribosomal RNA". Lineage: Eukaryota; Viridiplantae; Streptophyta; Magnoliopsida; Poales; Poaceae. The record is from RNAcentral.
AUGGCUUUCCAUGACGAUCGACGUAGGCGGCUUCGGCCUGAUACUGCGGAAGCACGGCCUUGUCAUGGAUCACGUCAUCGAUGCCUUCAUGAUGGAUGCCACGGGGAGGCUCCUGGACAGGGCCGCUAUGGGGGAGGACACUUGUGGGUCAUCCCAGGCGGCAGGGGUGGGAGCUUCGGCAUCGUGGAGUCCUGGAAGUUCCAGCUCGUGUGCGUGUCCGCGAGCAUUACCAUGUUCAUCAUCCAUCGGCCAAGAAACGAAUCCGCGAGCGAUCUCAUCACCGAGUGGCAACAUGUAGCGACAUCAUCCUCCGGGUCGUCGUGCAGAACCAAGACACGCAGUUGGAGUCCCUGUACCUCGGCAGGGAAGCCGAUGGAGCUGCUCCUUGACAGGGGCACCAAGCCCGACAGGUACUUCAAGGGCAAGUCGGACUUCAUGGACGAGACCAUCCCGAGGGACGUGUGGGAGAGCACGUGGAACUGGUUCAUGGAGGAUGGGGAUGGGCUUCUCAUCCUCGACCUCUUCAAGAUGGACCAGGGGGCUGCAUUGGGAGAUGGAGCCGUAUGUCCAAGAGCCCGAGGGACACAAUUCAGAUGCCUAAGGCCCGACCUCAUCUACGCCCAUGACCCCUCUGCAAUCACACAUCUACUGCAUGGUGUGAUUGUGAUCUGUGCAAUGAAUGGCUGCAGAGGGGAAGGGGCUGUCGUUCCGUUCAGCAGGGGCUGCAGCUUCUACGGCUGUGAGCCCGACCCGCAUCAACAGCAGCAGAUUCAGAUGGUACGAUUUUCCACCUUGCAAGAUAACGUGCAGUGUAAGGUCGGUGCUCAUCAGUGGUCGGACGUGUAUAUGCAUGUUUAUUCACGCAACUCCAUGGCUCUGUGCUUCAUCCAGUUGAUCCAUUUGUAUGAUGCAUAUGCUCAUUCAUGUGCUGUCAUAGUUACUCCUCACCGUUCUGAGCAAACUGUAAUUUGCAACUAA